RNAcentral lists this transfer RNA (72 nucleotides) under Streptococcus pneumoniae. RNAcentral's name for it is "tRNA-Gly(gcc)". It matches the Rfam family "tRNA". Rfam says of the family: Transfer RNA (tRNA) molecules are approximately 80 nucleotides in length. Their secondary structure includes four short double-helical elements and three loops (D, anti-codon, and T loops). Lineage: Bacteria; Bacillati; Bacillota; Bacilli; Lactobacillales; Streptococcaceae. The record is from RNAcentral.
GCGAACGUAGUUCAGUGGUAGAACACCACCUUGCCAAGGUGGGGGUCGCGGGUUCGAAUCCCGUCGUUUGCU